Long non-coding RNA from Mus musculus (house mouse), 400 nucleotides. RefSeq annotates it as predicted gene, 38997. The record is from RefSeq and is a predicted model, not a curated record. The transcript has 4 exons. NCBI's taxonomy places the organism in Eukaryota, Metazoa, Chordata, Mammalia, Rodentia, Muridae.
UUGAGUGGGCAAGAUCAUGGAGAAAUAGUAGCCCUGAAUGCUGAGAUAGGUGCUGGUGAAAGAGAUGCUGUUUACUACAGAGGAACAGGAUCACAUUGGGUGGGACCCACAAGUUGGUCCCAGAAAAGGACAGCAGAUGUUCCAAGUAUCCAGUAGGAAUUUGAUGCUGCCUUCUCUAAGACCAUUCCUGACUGGGACACCAAUUCAGCUGAAGGUCACUGGGUUCCAAAUACCCACAAGAAGAUCCAGAAGACUGAAAGCUUUGAAGAUAAAACAGCCAGCCACUUUUCACCUUCAAGUAGCAAGAUCUGGAAAACAGGUUCAGUGUACAGUUAAGCUGAACAAGACUUCUGCAAGGAUUUAAGAACUUGCCCACCAUAUUUGACAAGGCUCUCCUUCA